Molecule: ribosomal RNA, 393 nt
Filed under: uncultured bacterium
Lineage: Bacteria
Description: partial 16S ribosomal RNA
Rfam family: Bacterial small subunit ribosomal RNA
Source: RNAcentral
AUACGGAGGAUGCGAGCGUUAUCCGGAUUUAUUGGGUUUAAAGGGAGCGUGGGUGGGAUAUUAAGUCAGCUGUGAAAGUUUGGGGCUCAACCUUAAAAUUGCAGUUGAUACUGGUUUCCUUGAGUACGGUACAGGUGGGCGGAAUUCGUGGUGUAGCGGUGAAAUGCUUAGAUAUCACGAAGAACUCCGAUCGCGAAGGCAGCUCACCGGGCCGGAACUGACACUGAUGCUCGAAAGUGCGGGUAUCAAACAGGAUUAGAUACCCUGGUAGUCCGCACAGUAAACGAUGAAUACUCGCUGUUUGCGAUAUACAGUAAGCGGCCAAGCGAAAGCAUUAAGUAUUCCACCUGGGGAGUACGCCGGCAACGGUGAAACUCAAAGGAAUUGACGGGG